RNAcentral lists this ribosomal RNA (465 nucleotides) under uncultured bacterium. Its description in RNAcentral is "partial 16S ribosomal RNA". It matches the Rfam family "Bacterial small subunit ribosomal RNA", at positions 28 to 507 of the family's 1533-position model. The record is from RNAcentral.
GACGAACGCUGGCGGCGUGCUUAACACAUGCAAGUCGAACGGAAAGGCCCUGCUUGCAGGGUACUCGAGUGGCGAACGGGUGAGUAACACGUGGGUGAUCUGCCCUGCACUUCGGGAUAAGCCUGGGAAACUGGGUCUAAUACCGGAUAGGAGCCAUUUUUAGUGUGAUGGUUGGAAAGUUUUUUCGGUGUAGGAUGAGCUCGCGGCCUAUCAGCUUGUUGGUGGGGUAGUGGCCUACCAAGGCGGCGACGGGUAGCCGGCCUGAGAGGGUGGACGGCCACAUUGGGACUGAGAUACGGCCCAGACUCCUACGGGAGGCAGCAGUGGGGAAUAUUGCACAAUGGGCGCAAGCCUGAUGCAGCGACGCCGCGUGGGGGAUGACGGCCUUCGGGUUGUAAACUCCUUUCGCUAGGGACGAAGCUUUUUGUGACGGUACCUAGAUAAGAAGCACCGGCUAACUACGUG